GAGUUUGAUCCUGGCUCAGAACGAACGCUGGCGGCAGGCCUAACACAUGCAAGUCGAGCGCACUCUUCGGAGUGAGCGGCGGACGGGUUAGUAACGCGUGGGAACAUACCCUUCUCUACGGAAUAGCCUCGGGAAACUGAGAGUAAUACCGUAUACGCCCUUCGGGGGAAAGAUUUAUCGGAGAUGGAUUGGCCCGCGUUAGAUUAGAUAGUUGGUGGGGUAAUGGCCUACCAAGUCUACGAUCUAUAGCUGGUUUGAGAGGAUGAUCAGCAACACUGGGACUGAGACACGGCCCAGACUCCUACGGGAGGCGGCAGUGGGGAAUCUUAGACAAUGGGCGCAAGCCUGAUCUAGCCAUGCCGCGUGAGUGACGAAGGCCUUAGGGUCGUAAAGCUCUUUCGCCAGAGAUGAUAAUGACAGUAUCUGGUAAAGAAACCCCGGCUAACUCCGUGCCAGCAGCCGCGGUAAUA
RNAcentral lists this ribosomal RNA (470 nucleotides) under uncultured Loktanella sp. RNAcentral's name for it is "bacterial SSU rRNA". It matches the Rfam family "Bacterial small subunit ribosomal RNA", at positions 9 to 525 of the family's 1533-position model. The record is from RNAcentral. Lineage: Bacteria; Pseudomonadati; Pseudomonadota; Alphaproteobacteria; Rhodobacterales; Roseobacteraceae.